UACGUAGGGGGCUAGCGUUGUCCGGAUUUAUUGGGCGUAAAGAGCGUGUAGGCGGCCAGGUAGGUCUGGUGUGAAAACUCGAGGCUUAACCUCGAGAUGUCAUCGGAAACCAUCUGGCUAGAGUCCGGAAGAGGAGAGUGGAAUUCCUGGUGUAGCGGUGAAAUGCGCAGAUAUCAGGAAGAACACCAAUGGCGAAAGCAGCUCUCUGGGACGGUACUGACACUGAGACGCGAAAGCGUGGGGAGCGAACAGG
This 253-nucleotide ribosomal RNA is filed under the name uncultured bacterium. RNAcentral describes it as "partial 16S ribosomal RNA". It matches the Rfam family "Bacterial small subunit ribosomal RNA", at positions 524 to 776 of the family's 1533-position model. The record is from RNAcentral.